This 86-nucleotide transfer RNA is filed under the name Salmonella enterica. RNAcentral's name for it is "tRNA-Arg". It matches the Rfam family "tRNA". From Rfam's summary of the family: Transfer RNA (tRNA) molecules are approximately 80 nucleotides in length. Their secondary structure includes four short double-helical elements and three loops (D, anti-codon, and T loops). Further hydrogen bonds mediate the characteristic L-shaped molecular structure. tRNAs have two regions of fundamental functional importance: the anti-codon, which is responsible for specific mRNA codon recognition, and the 3' end, to which the tRNAs corresponding amino acid is attached (by aminoacyl-tRNA synthetases). tRNAs cope with the degeneracy of the genetic code in two manners: having more than one tRNA (with a specific anti-codon) for a particular amino acid; and 'wobble' base-pairing, i.e. permitting non-standard base-pairing at the 3rd anti-codon position. Lineage: Bacteria; Pseudomonadati; Pseudomonadota; Gammaproteobacteria; Enterobacterales; Enterobacteriaceae. The record is from RNAcentral.
AGAUGAGUAGCAUAGUGGCCUAAUGCAAUACCUAUAUCUUUCUAAGAUAUGGAGACAAGACAGAGGUUCGAAUCCUCUCUCAUCUU